CACGCCGUAAACGAUGAAUGCCAGUCGUCGGUGCGCAUGCGUAUCGGUGACACACCUAACGGAUUAAGCAUUCCGCCUGGGGAGUACGGUCGCAAGAUUAAAACUCAAAGGAAUUGACGGGGGCCCGCACAAGCAGCGGAGCAUGUGGUUUAAUUCGAAGCAACGCGAAGAACCUUACCUAGACUUGACAUCCCCUGAAUUACUCGUAACGGAGGAAGCCCUUCGGGGCAGGGAGACAGGUGG
This 243-nucleotide ribosomal RNA is filed under the name uncultured bacterium. RNAcentral's name for it is "partial 16S ribosomal RNA". It matches the Rfam family "Bacterial small subunit ribosomal RNA", at positions 796 to 1041 of the family's 1533-position model. The record is from RNAcentral.